UACGGAGGGUGCAAGCGUUAUCCGGAAUCACUGGGUUUAAAGGGUGCGUAGGCGGCACAAUAAGUCAGAGGUGAAAUCCCACAGCUUAACUGUGGAACUGCCUUUGAUACUGGUUGACUUGAGUUAUACGGAAGUAGAUAGAAUAUGUAGUGUAGCGGUGAAAUGCAUAGAUAUUACAUAGAAUACCGAUUGCGAAGGCAGUCUACUACGUAUAUACUGACGCUCAUGACGAAAGCGUGGGGAGCGAACAGGAUUAGAUACCCGUGUAGUCC
This 272-nucleotide ribosomal RNA is filed under the name uncultured bacterium. RNAcentral's name for it is "partial 16S ribosomal RNA". It matches the Rfam family "Bacterial small subunit ribosomal RNA", at positions 524 to 796 of the family's 1533-position model. The record is from RNAcentral.